RNAcentral lists this transfer RNA (70 nucleotides) under Megalodontes quinquecinctus. RNAcentral's name for it is "tRNA-Thr". The record is from RNAcentral. Lineage: Eukaryota; Metazoa; Arthropoda; Insecta; Hymenoptera; Megalodontesidae.
GUUUUAAUAAUUUAAUAAAAAUAUUGAUUUUGUAAAUCAAAUUUAAGAAUUAAUUUCUUCUUUUAAAACU